Molecule: small nuclear RNA, 293 nt
Filed under: Erinaceus europaeus (western European hedgehog)
Lineage: Eukaryota; Metazoa; Chordata; Mammalia; Eulipotyphla; Erinaceidae
Description: 7SK RNA
Rfam family: 7SK RNA
About the family: 7SK was discovered as an abundant small nuclear RNA in the mid-70s but a possible function has only recently been suggested. Two independent studies have found that 7SK RNA binds the CDK9/cyclin T complex (known as elongation factor P-TEFb).
Source: Rfam by way of RNAcentral
AAAUAGGGGAUGUGGCUGUGAUAUCUGUCACCCCACUGAUCGCCAAGGUUGAUUCGGCUGAUCUGGAAGGUGUUCCCUUCCUCCCUCACUGCUCCCUGCGACCUUCCCCAAGCUCCAUAGAGGAAGGUCUUCCCGGGGCGGAGACAGACCGGUCUCCCGGUUGGUUCAGGGUCUAGGAGUAGCUGCGCCCCGCUGCUAGAAUCUCCAAAUAAACUCUCAAGGUCCAAAUAAAUAGGGGGUAGGGAAGCAUAAUGGCUAUGCAAAAGACUGGCAAGUGGGAGGCUCUGAGGUUU